AACGCACAUUGCGCCUCUCGGUAUUCCGGGAGGCACGCCUGUUCGAGCGCCAUUACACACUCCAAGCUUUGCUUGAUGUUGGACGAUGCGAGCCUCUAAAUUGGGGACUCGGACGUCUAGAACGUGUGGGCGUCUGCGGCCGGAGCAGGAGCGUGGCAAGACUGUCUUUCAUCGACGUCAUUCGCUCUAUUUGUUUCCGACAGUGGACUGCCAAAGCAGAAAGACUUCUGUCAAAAAAGAGUUUGGCCUCGGAUCAGGCGGGGAUACCCGCUGAACUUAA
Molecule: unclassified non-coding RNA, 280 nt
Filed under: uncultured fungus
Lineage: Eukaryota; Fungi
Description: partial contains 5.8S ribosomal RNA, internal transcribed spacer 2, and large subunit ribosomal RNA
Source: RNAcentral